Molecule: ribosomal RNA, 305 nt
Filed under: uncultured bacterium
Lineage: Bacteria
Description: bacterial SSU rRNA
Rfam family: Bacterial small subunit ribosomal RNA
Source: RNAcentral
UCCUACGGGAGGCAGCAGUGAGGAAUAUUGGUCAAUGGGAGAGAUCCUGAACCAGCCAAGCCGCGUGAGGGAAGACGGCCCUAUGGGUUGUAAACCUCUUUUGUCGGAGAACAAAACCCGGGACGUGUCCCGGACUGCGUGUACCCGAAGAAAAAGCAUCGGCUAACUCCGUGCCAGCAGCCGCGGUAAUACGGAGGAUGCGAGCGUUAUCCGGAUUUAUUGGGUUUAAAGGGUGCGUAGGCGGUCCGUUAAGUCAGCGGUAAAAUUGCGUGGCUCAACCCCGUCGUGCCGUUGAAACUGGCAGA